This 84-nucleotide transfer RNA is filed under the name Paludibacteraceae bacterium. RNAcentral describes it as "tRNA-Leu". It matches the Rfam family "tRNA". Rfam says of the family: Transfer RNA (tRNA) molecules are approximately 80 nucleotides in length. The record is from RNAcentral. Lineage: Bacteria; Pseudomonadati; Bacteroidota; Bacteroidia; Bacteroidales; Paludibacteraceae.
GCCCAAAUGGCGGAAUUGGUAGACGCGCUAGUUUCAGGGACUAGUAGCUGCAAGGCUGUGCAGGUUCGAGUCCUGUUUUGGGCA